CUGCCCUCACUUUAGCAACAUGUAUACUAAAAUUGGAGCACACCAAUAUUAGCCUGGUCCUUGAGCAAGAAUGACAUGAAAAUUCAUGAAGUGUUACAUAUUUUU
Molecule: small nuclear RNA, 105 nt
Filed under: Nannospalax galili (Upper Galilee mountains blind mole rat)
Lineage: Eukaryota; Metazoa; Chordata; Mammalia; Rodentia; Spalacidae
Source: RNAcentral